AUGUUAAUAGCAUAUUCAUUUGACGUUUAGCUGCAGAAGAAGCACCGGCUAACUCCGUGCCAGCAGCCGCGGUAAUACGGAGGGUGCGAGCGUUAAUCGGAAUUACUGGGCGUAAAGCGCAUGCAGGUGGUUUGUUAAGUCAGAUGUGAAAAGCCCGGGGCUCAACCUCGGAAUUGCAUUUGAAACUGGCAAACUAGAGUACUGUAGAGGGGGGUAGAAUUUCAGGUGUAGCGGUGAAAUGCGUAGAGAUCUGAAGGAAUACCGGUGGCGAAGGCGGCCCCCCUGGACAGAUACUGACACUCAGAGUGCGAAAGCGUGGGGAGCAAACAGGAUUAGAUACCCUGGUAG
RNAcentral lists this ribosomal RNA (348 nucleotides) under uncultured bacterium. RNAcentral describes it as "bacterial SSU rRNA". It matches the Rfam family "Bacterial small subunit ribosomal RNA", at positions 450 to 793 of the family's 1533-position model. The record is from RNAcentral.